This 84-nucleotide transfer RNA is filed under the name bacterium. RNAcentral's name for it is "tRNA-Leu". It matches the Rfam family "tRNA". Rfam says of the family: Transfer RNA (tRNA) molecules are approximately 80 nucleotides in length. Their secondary structure includes four short double-helical elements and three loops (D, anti-codon, and T loops). RNAcentral also lists the same sequence under 2 other names. The record is from RNAcentral.
GCGGAUGUGGCGGAAUUGGCAGACGCGCUGGCUUCAGGUGCCAGUUGGGGUAACCCAGUGGAGGUUCGAAUCCUCUCAUCCGCA